Molecule: ribosomal RNA, 1331 nt
Filed under: uncultured Candidatus Thioglobus sp.
Lineage: Bacteria; Pseudomonadati; Pseudomonadota; Gammaproteobacteria; Pseudothioglobaceae (SeqCode)
Description: bacterial SSU rRNA
Rfam family: Bacterial small subunit ribosomal RNA
Source: RNAcentral
UGCAGUCGGACGGAACGACAAGAGCUUGCUCUUGGGCGUCGAGUGGCGGACGGGUGAGUAACGCGUAGGAAUCUGCCUAGUAGUGGGGGAUAGCCCAGAGAAAUCUGGAUUAAUACCGCAUAAUAUCUAUGGAUUAAAGUGGAGGAUUUUCGGACUUCACGCUACUAGAUGAGCCUGCGUAAGAUUAGCUUGUUGGUGAGGUAAGAGCUCACCAAGGCGACGAUCUUUAGCUGGUCUGAGAGGAUGAUCAGCCACACUGGAACUGAGACACGGUCCAGACUCCUACGGGAGGCAGCAGUGGGGAAUAUUGGACAAUGGGGGCAACCCUGAUCCAGCAAUACCGCGUGUGUGAAGAAGGCCUGAGGGUCGUAAAGCACUUUCAAUUGUGAAGAAAAGUCAGUAGUUAAUAGCUACUGGCCUUGACGUUAACUUUAGAAGAAGCACCGGCUAACUCCGUGCCAGCAGCCGCGGUAAUGCGGAGGGUGCAAGCGUUAAUCGGAAUUACUGGGCGUAAAGCGUGCGUAGGUGGUUUUUUAAGUCAGAUGUGAAAGCCCUGGGCUUAACCUAGGAACUGCAUUUGAAACUGGGAAACUAGAGUAUAGGAGAGGAAAGUGGAAUUUCUGGUGUAGCGGUGAAAUGCGUAGAUAUCAGAAGGAACAUCGAUGGCGAAGGCAGCUUUCUGGACUAAUACUGACACUGAGGUACGAAAGCGUGGGUAGCAAACAGGAUUAGAUACCCUGGUAGUCCACGCCGUAAACGAUGAUAACUAGCCGUUGGAGGGGUUUACCCUUUAGUGGCGAAGCUAACGCGUUAAGUUAUCCGCCUGGGAGUACGGCCGCAAGGUUAAAACUCAAAGGAAUUGACGGGGACCCGCACAAGCGGUGGAGCAUGUGGUUUAAUUCGAUGCAACGCGAAGAACCUUACCUGGUCUUGACAUACACGGAACUUUCCAGAGAUGGAUUGGUGCCUUCGGGAACCGUGAUACAGGUGCUGCAUGGCUGUCGUCAGCUCGUGUCGUGAGAUGUUGGGUUAAGUCCCGUAACGAGCGCAACCCCUAUCCUUAUUUGCCAGCACAUCAUGGUGGGAACUAUAAGGAGACUGCCGGUGAUAAACCGGAGGAAGGCGGGGACGACGUCAAGUCAUCAUGGCCCUUACGACCAGGGCUACACACGUGCUACAAUGGGAAGGACAAAGGGUUGCUAAGCCGCGAGGUGGUGCUAAUCUCAUAAACCUUUUCGUAGUCCGGAUCGGAGUCUGCAACUCGACUCCGUGAAGUCGGAAUCGCUAGUAAUCGUAGAUCAGAACGCUACGGUGAAUACGUUCCCGGGUCU